GGCUUAGUGGUCUAGUCGUAUGAUUCUCGCUUUGGGUUCCUCUGAAUGCGAGAGGUCCCGGGUUCAAUUCCCGGCUGAGCCC
RNAcentral lists this transfer RNA (82 nucleotides) under Aspergillus ruber CBS 135680. It matches the Rfam family "tRNA". From Rfam's summary of the family: Transfer RNA (tRNA) molecules are approximately 80 nucleotides in length. The record is from Rfam by way of RNAcentral. Lineage: Eukaryota; Fungi; Ascomycota; Eurotiomycetes; Eurotiales; Aspergillaceae.